This is a long non-coding RNA of Macrobrachium nipponense, 2273 nucleotides long. RefSeq lists it as uncharacterized. The record is from RefSeq and is a predicted model, not a curated record. The transcript has 2 exons. Lineage: Eukaryota; Metazoa; Arthropoda; Malacostraca; Decapoda; Palaemonidae.
UUUAUUUGCACACCCUUCAUUGUAUACAGGAAAAUUUUCAUUUUUACCAGAUACGUUUGUAAUUGUAAUAGCCAUAUGUAACUUACACAGGAUGACGAAAUAAUGAUGAGGUGCAAGCUAGUGCACAAAACGUUUUUGGUUUGGUAAAUAUGUGGGCUAUGGCAGGGCCGGGGUACAACCCACUCUCGCUAAUACCAGAUCAGUCGCUACACUGUUGAUAUACAAGUUCGUUCAGUAUGCAUUUUAUGUGGACGUAGUGUUUUAUUAUGGUGUUUGAAAGUUCAGUGCUUAUCGUAAUUUACAGAGAACACGGUUUUACAGACUGUGAGUGAAUGUUCAGACUAAAAAAUUCAAGCCACAUUAAAUUUUGCAACCUCCCGCCCCCCAAAAAAGUUAUGAACACAACGUCUGAGUGCAUUUUUAAGGCCUAGAAUUGUCACCAUGAGUGAUCCGAGUUUGCCACAAGUUUUUCAAAUUGACGAUAGCGAUGACGACCUUAACGCCUUUUUCUCCACUUUUUCACUUCCUGAAAUUAACAGCCAAAGCUCUCCAGACCGGAGAGAUCAGUGUAUCACAGAUCCUGAAAGGCUAGGAAAGACAAUAGACCCACAAAAUACGAACAAAGUCGCUGAACAAGGACAGCCUAAUGUUGCGCCUAGUGUGGUAGAGCCCAUGGUCGAGCCAGCUCAAUUUCCAUAUCUUGAUAACAGCAUCGUAAUAGUGACCCCACAAGUCCCAGCAAACCAGCCAUUGGUCAGCAGUUCUGGAGGCAAUGCAGAAGAAUCUUCGGAUUCUGUACUGAUACCUUCGCCUGAUGCUUCCGAGACCGGCGACGAGGAACUGGAGGCGACCCCGGAAGAUGCAGCGUCAGCAGGUCACGCUUCAGUCCGUCGAAGGAAAGAAUGUCUGUGGGAAAGGACAGAGCCCUUCGACGAUCCAGUGAAGGAGAAGAAAAGGAAGAAUGCCAUCAAAGCCAAAAAUAACCGCAUCAAGAGAAGGGCCGAAAACCAAGGUCUGAAGCUGAGAGCUGAACAGGUUGAAAGAAGCCUCAGAGUGAUGAAGGAGGCUCUUGAUAAGGAACGAAUGAAGAAUGCCCAUCAAUCAAAGGAAAUCCAAAGUCUCAAGGAACUUCUGCGGGCGGUACUUGGUGGUCAACGAUUUCAAGUGAGCUACGUACAAAAUGGCGAAUCCAGGAAUUAGGAAAGGGAGGGGGUGCCCGCUGUUUGCUAAGUAAGGGACCGGCGUGAGCGGUAGUAAGUUUUGGUACUUUUAUAGUGGUUAUAUUGAAAACCUGUUACCGAUAAUUCUCGUUAGAUCGAAACCAGUUACAGAACUCUACUGAUUGAUUGAAAUUGGGCCAUAUAAUGCACUCCCGUUUCAAUAGUUAGAGAAUGUACCUAUUGAUCAACACUGAAAUAUAGAUCAUUCGUACCAUUCUUUACCACAAAUGUUAAAUUUUCUGCUAUACUUGCAUCAGUGGCAUACUAGUAGUUAAGCAAAUAAGGCAAUGUACGUAAUUUACCAGUAAAGUAAAUAGAAAACUACAUAUUUGCCACAGUUAAGUGGUGACUUAUUUAGUUCACAUGUUUCACAAACGAUAAACUGAGUAAAGCAUUUAUCAUGUUAACAUUCUAGGCUCCAUUCUUCUUUCAUUUCUUUCCACAUUUGCCUCCUGUUCUCUUCUUCCUUUCUCUUAUUCUUAUUCCCUCUCAGCCCGUCGCUUCAUCGUUCAUUUGUAUUUUCUGUUUUACACUUGAUUUCUGAAAAUCUGUUCUUUGUACUAUGUAUACUAAUGCUGCAACAGCACAAGAACAACAAUUACUACCACUGUUAUUAUUAUUAUUAUUAUUAUUAUUAUUAUUAUUAUUAUUAUAAGCUUCGAUUUUUCCUGACAUUGAUGUUUGAUAAUAAUCCGCUCUUAGGGGCGCCAUUCACAGCCGAAGGGGGACGGCCACCGCAACCAUCCCCCCCUCCCCCACUAAAUCCGCCACUGUACGUAAAUGGUGAACCAACAAAGCCCUCAAAAAUAGGCAAUGGUUGAAUGUUAUUUUAAGAAGAAAAGUAUGGAUUUGUUAUAACUGGACAUAACCUCAGCAGUCGGUGAAAAACAUUAUUGUGAACCAUCACAGAAAAUAAUGAGAUGACUAUAUUUCUGGUAAACAGUAUUAUUCUUUGCCAUUUUCCUACAAAAAAUAUAUAUCGAUGAAAUUGCAGAAUAUACAAGAUGCUUUGAAAGACUUGGAACAUUUCAAGAAAAUAAAAUAUUUCUAGAA